GAGCAGCCUCCUCAGCUCCUGCUUAACCACUUCCCUCCAAACAGUGAGUGCUACAAUGUCAUCAGGUGCAGAGAAUGGACUAUACUGGUUUGAAGGUCCAUACAGCAACAAACAUACAAAUAUGCAGCAAAAGAAGCUAAGACAGGAUUGAGAACUGAAAUUGCAUCUGCUGGCACAGUGACAAUAAACCACCAGAACCAAAGAUGGAAGAAUCAGUCACCUUCUUCACCAUGGAAUUUAACAAAAUUCAUAAAAAGAUGAGAAAUCAACUGAAGGGUAAAGAACAGAAGAAAAAGAACAUUAAGGAAGUUAAACUUACUGGAGGUUUUCUGGUGCACAGUACUAAAGAAGUUGUAAAAUAAACUCCUCUUAUGAGCUCCACGUUCACAUACAUAAAUCAAGUGAGUGUUUGAAAAUCCCUCGAGUUAAGCCCUCAGAGAUAGAAUCUGUCUAAGGAAACAUUCCUGAGGCAACGUGACUGUGUUACGAAUUACAGAGGCUCCACAGGAGCAAGACACAAGAUUGAAGGGGCGCAGGGCUUGGGCCCCGUCCUGCCCACAGCCAGGGGAGCGGCAGCAUCUCUGCUCUGCACACACAGAUCCAGGGGAUCUGGGAGGCUCCAGGGCUCGCCAGGAUGGUGCUGCAGGUGCCAGGGAGGAAUUGGAGGCUGCUUUUCCCUCAAGGGAUCUUUGUGCUUUGUGAAGUGCACGGGCGAUGGGUGAGCACACUACAGCACCUCAGUGGCUCUGUUUGCUCCAAGGACAAACCACUCAAGGCCAGUUACGGAUGAACCCUGCUGCAAAGCACCAAAGUCCCUCUGUUUUGGAGACUUCCCCUCUUACUACAGAUACUCAUAAACCUGAAUUUUCACUUUCUCCGUAAUCCCCAUUGUUAAAAGAUGACACUAACUGUGGAGAAGUGUCCAUCAGGAAGUGGCAUGAGGUCAGGACAUCAGCAGAAGCCUCACAAUUUCUGCAGCACGUACUAAAAUUACAAGUUAAUUCAAAUUAAACCCUAAAACAAGCUUCAAGGAAGCACAAGCCAAGAGAACAUAGACCUUUGAAACAAUUCUCUGUAACAAGCCUUUAUAAAUUCAUAGGUUUGCAGGGAUAUCCAUGAGAGGAUUCAAGAGAGCUGG
Long non-coding RNA from Melospiza melodia melodia, 1138 nucleotides. RefSeq lists it as uncharacterized. The transcript is spliced from 3 exons. The record is from RefSeq and is a predicted model, not a curated record. Lineage: Eukaryota; Metazoa; Chordata; Aves; Passeriformes; Passerellidae.